GCAUGAAUAAGCGCACCGCCAUCUUCAAGACUUUGCUAGCAAAGUACAAGAAGUUGGAGGUGGAGCACGAGGCUCUGAAGGCUGACCGUGAGAGCCAUGUGCUGCAAAAGCUAAUACGUGCUCUUGUUCACAGCCAGGGACAACGCCCAAGUGGCGGAGCUUCUGAAGCGUGUCACGAAGUCCAAGAUGAGAAGACCCGGCUGGCAGAACAACACCGGGAGGACGUGGCUCGGCUGCAGGCACAAAUCUUGGCGCAAGCGGAGGCACAUAAGACCGAGGUGGGUGAACUCACCUCGGCCCUCUCUACCCAGGCUGAUGAGAGGAUCCGCCUGGAGAAUGAGGUGAAGAAGUGCAAGGGUCUGGUCGCCGAGACUGAGAUCCGCGUCGUUGCCGCCGAGAAAGAGGAUGCCGAGAAGACCCGACGAUUUCAGGUUGUCCGGCAUGAGCUCAUCAAGAUCGAGACCAUGCUGACCAGUAAGUUGCCCUGACACAAAUUUCUUCAUCUGAUCACUUAUCCGAGUAAUAGUAGUAAAAUGCCGAGACUCAUUACUGUCUUUUGCAUUUUUUUUUCCACAAUCGGUCGAGACCGCCCAAGCCGCCGUGAUUAAGGCGCGUAGGAAGAGGGAUCCAGUCGGGAUCACCCCCUUUGAAUACGACUUAGAGGAUUAUCUGGUUAGCAUUGCUAGCCGGGUAAAGCCUCUAAAAUCGUUCGGGGUGAACAUGUUGAACGCCAGCAUUCGUGCCUUCCGGGCUCUGUGGCCGGGAGAGGAGGCUCCGACCGGCAUCCCCGAAUUAGCAACGCGCCUGCUGGAGGUGGGGGAUCGCCUCAACAAGUGGCGGGAAUCGGCCGCACGCGUCGGCGCCAACAAGGACUUGUCGUUUGUACUCUCUUGGUACGACGGCAUCAACCUCAACGUGCUGCAGUCAAUGCGUGCCGAGAUGACCGAUGGCGAUGAAGAGGAGGCAAUGGACGAGGAGAUUGUCAUUGAGUCGGCCUCCACUGCAUUGGAUGCACCGAGUUCCGGCGCCAACAAUCCCUCUAUCUCUUCUUAGCUAUGCCGGAAAAAGAACUUUAGAAUUAUCAGAUCCCCGGGAUGCCGGGUGCACAUGUAACAGAGAUAAUAUACUUUUGUUUGUAAAACAUCGUGUUUUUAAUUUAUAUACAAGUCUUUUGCUUAUCAAA
This is a long non-coding RNA of Brachypodium distachyon (stiff brome), 1183 nucleotides long. RefSeq lists it as uncharacterized. The record is from RefSeq and is a predicted model, not a curated record. The transcript has 2 exons. Lineage: Eukaryota; Viridiplantae; Streptophyta; Magnoliopsida; Poales; Poaceae.